GCCAUGGUGAAUACAUUCAUGAAAUCAGUGAAGUACAAAGUAACUAAUGUGAUUUAUAGCAUCCUAUAACACUUGCUUAUCCAGGGCCUUGUGAAGAUCAGUAUACUAUCAAACAAAUGGAGGUAUACAUGGGCUUCAAUGCCACAAACAAUAAUAUGCAGCAAUGACCAGUGUACUAUGAAGGUGAGAAUUUCCUUACCAAGUGACAUGAUUGAUAUCUUUCUUCAAUACUUGCCCCUCCAAGACUUUGUUAGAACAUAUAUACUAUCAAAGGAUUAGAGGUCAUAAUUGGGCUUCAAUCCCACAACAUGAGUUUAGAUAUGAUUUUUUUGAGAAGUGUAAGAUUCUAGAAUACCUUGAAAUUUCAAGUAUGUCAUGGCAGUUCUUCUGCUGCAUAGUGGUUCAAUACAUGAGUUUACUUUUUACAUCACUAUAAACUUCCCAAUUAAAAUUGAAUUGCUCAAUAAAAGGAGUUUAAUAUUACAUGAAAAUAAAGUGAUUUAAUUUCAUGAGUUUUCAAGCGAACUAAUUAACAUAUAUCAAACAACCUAAUCUAAUAGUGUUAUAUUUGACAUGGAUCACUUUCUUGGUUAGUAAGCUCAUGAAAUUUAAUUACCUUUUCUUGAUAAGAACAAAAUAAACUUUUUGAGGGAUUCAAUUUUGAUUGGAAAGUUCGUAUGAAUUAAUGUAAAGAGUAAAUCCAUGUAAUGGCCCAUUGUGUUUGUUGUAUUGGAAAUUCUCUAUAUUUCUUUUUUAUGGGGUCUGAACAUUCCCCAUUCUAUUAUACUCUUUCUCAAUGAUGAUGAAAUCUGAAAAGAAAUUCGGAAAAUGGUAUACGAGAAAGGAAAUGGAACCAGUGAAAUAUGCUUCUCCAGGUAUUAAAUUUUGUCAUUCAAUUUUUCAUCUUUUAUUUUGGUUUCACACUUUUGGCACAAUGUUCUUUUCAUUUUUUAAAUAAGUUAUAAUGAACCAUGCUUUCUUGGUUGGUGAUGACAUCUUAUAAGAGUUGUUUAAUAACAAUAUCUUGAAAAGUUUUAUGCAUGAAAGUGGGAAGAAGGACAUCAAGAAUGGAAAACCCUUGUUUUACAAACAUCAAGAUGGAAAAGCUCUUGUAAAGCCCUCAUUUUUGUAGGAUUUAUGUUAAUGGUUAAAAUGGAUAAUUAAUUGAUCGAUGGAAAGAUUGUUAAUUAUCUAAAAGAAGGUUGUAGAGACGGCCUCAACCCAGCUAUUUUCAAAAGAAAUCUGGCAUCUCUAUGGUCCUGAGAUUUUUCACUCUAGAACAACUUGGCUUGAAACACGACAUUUCCCCAGGUUCUUGGCAUUGCCUCGAUUGACUAGGUCUAGGUCGGUCCGUAAAAGAUUGCCAUAAAUAUAACUAUACAAGAGUUUCUACGUUAACUUGCUUCCAUCUCCAUCAUUGUCAAAGCAGGACAUAUUUUUUCCACUGGCUUUCUUACUCAACCCAGGUGAUUGCUUGCUUCCUCUCUCAAUCUUUCAUCAAAUUUUUUAUCAUGAUUUAUUUAUCUUAUGAUUAAAUUUGAUGAGUUUAGGUCUUUGCUUUUGUCAUCACAAUAUGGAUCUUACAUUUUGUUCUUUUAAAAAGAUUUCCUACUUAUUUGUUACUUGCCCUAUCUGUAAGAUUUUAGUAUAAAAAUUUAAAUAUUUUGGCUUCCUAUUUAAAAUUAUGAAAUAUUUUUCGUAGGUUUUGAAUUACUUGCCACACAACAAGAAAAUCAUGCUUCUUAUAUUAAAUUGACUUUUUGGAAUAAUUCUUAAAAAUGAUUGAUUGUUAUAGUCAUUGGAAUAGUGAUGUUUAGUUUUCUUCAUAAAAAAUGAUUUUUUUGUUUUUAUUUUUAAUUAUUAUUCAUUUUUCAUUUUCUUAGUGGCAUGCACCACACAUAACAAGAAAUUAACCAUGCUUGUUUUCUAUUAAUGGAUUAUUUACGAACACCUCACACACCCUAUAAAUUUGGCUCAUGAAAUGUUGUAGAGAAACCACAAAUGGCUUAAAAAACCCUUAUCUUUUAAUCUAACUUUCAAGAUUUCAGUAGCACUUAUUUUGCUUUUAUUAAUUUAGUAUGAAUAUAGCCAGCUUUAGCAUCUUGGCCAAAGUUCACAUUGAGGUCUAUAUAUAUAGAAAUAUUAUGGUUUUAAAGGUUUUAUUAGUAUUUUAAAAUUAUAUUCCAUAAUUUUUGUAUUUGCAACACAACUGAAUUUUCAAUUUAAAACUUUGAAUCUUAGUAAAAUAGACUUUAUAUCUUUUGAAUUAUAUUUGAAAAUUAAUGUGACCGAUUGCAUUCUAAUAAAAUCAAAGAACUUUUUUUUAUCCUUUGGAGAGAAUAGAUUUUUUUUUUAGUUUUGGAGUACAAAUAUAAUUCUACUUCAUAAGGUCUUUUUUGUUAAAAAGCAAGCAAACCACUACAAAGACAUUUUCAUUGAAGUAAAACUAUUUAGUUUUAUUUUGAAUUGAUUUGACUUAUUUUGUUUUUUUUUUUUUUGGAUUGUAAUUUAAUUAAUACGAGCAUUGAGUUGCUCUUAACUGAAGUUCAGGACAAAGUUUUGUUUGAGAGAUAAUUGUUAGUGUAAGGGAGGAAGUUGGUGCAGUACCUUCGAUGUGGGACUACUUGCACCUGUUAUCGAAGGGAAGGAGGAAAAUUUUUUAGAAGAGAAGGAAGAUACAUAUUAUUUGGAUGUAACGUGCAUAAAGAAGGAAGGAGAUGUGGUGCAAAAUUCUGUUAGAAGGGAAGGACACGUGGCUCACGAUCCGCAGAGUGAGGGAGGCAAGUGUAGCACUAGGUUAAGGAGGGGGAAUAUAAGGAUGGAGGAUUACACAUUGUAGGAUUAUUCUGAGGUGAUUCUGUUGCCGGCAUACGACCGAGGAGUGUGCCGCGAUCAUCAUUCUCCCUCUACUUCAUUGCCUUAGUGUUUUUGUAGCUUAUCGUUGAUUUUUGUUCUCUGUUCAUUGUAAUAAACUACUGCUGCAUAAUUGAAUUGUUUCAUUGGUGUUUUCAUUGUGCUUCCAUGGCUGAGAACAAGCAUUUGAAGGAUUUGCAAAAAGAAAUUCGUACACAUUCAGAUGAUAUUCGCCAUCUUGGUCAAACGAUGGAUAUGCGUUACCAAGAGAAAAAUGAUAAGAUGCUUCAGAUCCAAAAUUCUAUGGGUCAAAUUCAGUUAGCGAUGAAUCUGUUAUUACGGAAUGCUUCUCAACCUCCUGAAAGUUCUCCAAACAAUGGCUCCCCGAUGGUGCAACCAAUUAAUGCUUCUUUGCCUGUUAAAGAGAUCUCACUUGGAUUUCCUCACUUCAAUGGAACAACACCAGUGAUGGAGUGGAUCUUCAAGGCGGAAAAUUUUUUCACAUAUCAUAAUACUCCUGAUGCGUCUAGAGUGGAUAUUGCGGCAAUGCAUUUUGAUAAGGAUGUAGUGGCAUGGUUCCAGAUGUUGCAGAAAUUAUCUCUGGUGUCUACUUGGUCUGAGUUGACUCAUGCUCUAGAGUCUCAAUUCAGUCCUUCACCUUUUGAUUGUCUAAUGGUUGAGCUCUUCAAGUUUCAACAAACAGGUUCGGUAUCAGCUUAUUACCUCAAAGUUUAUGUCUCUAGCUAAUAGAUCUUUGGGAUUAAGUAAUGAGGCUCUCCUUAAUUGUUUCAUUAGUGGUUUAAAUCCUGAUAUUAUAAGAGAUGUUGUUGCUAUGUGCCCUCCUACCUUAUUGCGUGCAGUUGCUUUAGCUAAACUUUUUGAAGAAAAAUAUGGUCUUGUUUCUAAGCCAUUUCAAAAAUUCCUAUAGUCACAAAUAUUCCCAAAUUUCUUUUACCCCAGUCUCUAUUAAUGCUCAACCAAAAACACAAAUUAAAUCCAGUUUACCUUUGCUUUUACCUACUCCACUAGGGCCUCCAAUUCGGUCCAUGAAUGUAAAAAGGAUUGCUCCUGUUGAAAUGCAAUUGAGAAGGGAAAAAUGAUUGUGUUA
Long non-coding RNA from Glycine soja, 3961 nucleotides. RefSeq lists it as uncharacterized. NCBI's taxonomy places the organism in Eukaryota, Viridiplantae, Streptophyta, Magnoliopsida, Fabales, Fabaceae. The transcript has 4 exons. The record is from RefSeq and is a predicted model, not a curated record.